UGGAUUGGUCCAGGAUUGGGGUUUUGCUAGUCCAUAGCAAUUCGAAGGGCAGUGGGCUAGUGUUAUGAGAAUAUUGGCAAGAAAAUA
Homo sapiens (human) is the source of this 87-nucleotide long non-coding RNA. NCBI's taxonomy places the organism in Eukaryota, Metazoa, Chordata, Mammalia, Primates, Hominidae. The record is from Ensembl.